ACGGAGGAUGAAAGCGUUAUCCGGAUUUAUUGGGUUUAAAGGGUGCGUAGGCGGAUUAAUAAGUCAGUGGUGAAAACCUUCAGAUUAACUGGAGAACUGCCAUUGAUACUGUUAGUCUUGAGUACGGUCAAGGUAGGCGGAAUGUGUAAUGUAGCGGUGAAAUGCUUAGAUAUUACACAGAACACCGAUUGCGAAGGCAGCUUACUGGGCCAUUUCUGACGCUGAGCCACGAAAGCGUCGAGAGCGAACAG
RNAcentral lists this ribosomal RNA (251 nucleotides) under uncultured prokaryote. RNAcentral describes it as "partial 16S rRNA". It matches the Rfam family "Bacterial small subunit ribosomal RNA", at positions 525 to 775 of the family's 1533-position model. The record is from RNAcentral.